AAGACGCGCAAAAGUAGACGACGUCUGCUCAUCCUGUUUAAAGAUACGGCGCACGGAUCUGCGGGCGACCACGCCCGGUCAAAGGCGCGGGCUGUGCUACAUUGCUACUCUGUAUAUUCCUUCUGUGCCAUGCUGUGGGCAGGAGACUUUCUGAUGUACCCUCUCUUCCAGUCCUACCCAAAUCGGUCGUGCGAUGCCCGCUGCAGUCUAAUAGCAGUGGCUUGAAUGAUUACUCAACAACUGCAGUAGGCUUGGAAGGCGUGGCAAGCUCGAACGUGUUCCCACUGUACUUGGUAUCAUUCUACGGAUAUCAUUUUUCGGCGCUAUGCUGACGAUAUUCUUGGGUACUGCUCUGAGCCUUUUGACAGGUGGUCACAAGACCGCAAGUAGAAACUUGCCUUUAACAAGCCCAGUGUUUUUGAACAUUUGGAAAAGGUUUCGAUUUUUGCGCCAGACAAUAACGCUUCAAAGAGACGAAAUUAAAGGCGGCCCAUCGAUAUUACGGGCCAAUGGACGAGGAGAUGAAGAUGAGAAGAACCCGCACCUAGGUGCAGAGCUUCUUCCGAUAUUCAAUAGAACCUAGCGUCGUGGGCACUACGUGACGACUAGCGACGAGCGCGUAUUACUUAAUUAAGCUAUAUACUUCGCGAGAAAGUUGCAGCUCUAAACUACGCCGCUUGCAAGGAACCACGCAGCACGCAGCACACAUGCCUGCUUAGCCUGUUUCGAAUGAGCAGCCAAUCCGCAACAACAGGCGCGUUGCUCUUCCCAGCCAGCUGUGGCCGAAGAGGGUUUUUUAUGUUAAAGAGACAGGGCGUGAAAGCACGGACGAAAGAGAGCAGUCAAAAGAAGCCAAGAGAGGGUUUUAUCGUGGGUGAGGAGGGUUUUAGCGAACCUCGCCAGCUUCAUAAGUCAGCUUCCGCAAGCUUCGUUUGAAAAAUGAAUACGCAAUAAGAAAGUGAAUACUUCAGCAAAAGCCAUGUGUUUGCUACGAAAAUGACUGAAUCAAUGCAGGCACAUGGAGAAACACAAAAAAGAAGAGGCUGGAUACGAGCUAACUUCAAAAUAACGACGACUUUUAGUUUAACUAUUUAAUUACCACUGCGAAAGCUUUAAUGUUUGAAUAUUUCAUGUAGAAAGGCCUGAACUUGCCCGACUUCCUAGUUGUAAAUAUUUGCAUCAGGUUCACCUGCGCAUUUUAUAUUUGUUUAGAAUCUUUCUCUUUACUAUUAUUUUUCCCUCUCUUCUGAAAUUUUUAUUCCCAUUGCGCUUUCCCAUGAAGAGUAGCAUGCCAGCGGUUAUGUAGACGCAGGCAAAAAUAUUCGUUUUUCUA
Rhipicephalus sanguineus (brown dog tick) is the source of this 1333-nucleotide RNA transcript. RefSeq lists it as uncharacterized. The record is from RefSeq and is a predicted model, not a curated record. Lineage: Eukaryota; Metazoa; Arthropoda; Arachnida; Ixodida; Ixodidae. The transcript is spliced from 5 exons.